AGUACGCGGCAGUAGUGGCCUUUCGAAAAGUUAUAGCGAUAUCAUUUGAUCCUUAACAUACCUUUCAUUAAAGCUCCUUUAUUAUUGUCUAUAUACGUAAGGUAAGUAAAUAAAUUGCCAGACGCGGAUUUUUUGAAGUCGCAUCUUGGUUGCUUGCGAUAUCCGGUCUGAAUAGGCGAAAUCAGAACUAUGCAGAUGACUCUAACGUCGUUUUGUUCUGGAUGCCAUCUGCUAACCCGCGCUCUACGAAAAACGACGGCGUCUCCAGACGAUCGCAGAUAAUUGCCUGAUUUUGCAUUAAAUUGUUUUGUAUGAGAGCAACGAACCUUGAACUGCAGGCUAUUUUGAAACCCAGUUGCUACGAACCUCAAAGCAUCUGAAUCGUUGUAUCUUUUCCAAAUUGACCUAUGGCGGAGGUAUCCACAUCUUACUCUUUACCUGACUCCUUGAAAACCUUGAACACAUGUCUGGUAUGUGUUGCGCUUUUCCUGAUAUGCAGUUUGUUAUUACUACCGAAUCAGAGCUAUUAUGGCCUUCAAAAUGAUGGCACUGCCGCGUCCCAUUCCGAUACACCGGAAAUCUAUAACUUGGCUGUUCCAACUCGCCCUGUCAGUCGUGCAAACUUUAUGUAUUUGAGCAUGAAGACGAGUUACAAAUUCCACACCUCAAGAAUAUUACCCUUACUGCAAACAUGGAUUCCGGUGGCGCUGGCGUUAAAGGAUGGAAACGACGAUCCAGUUGUUCCGCGGGUUUCGAUAAUAACUGAUUCACACCCGGAUGGAAAUUUUAAGGAUAGUCUCGAUAAACUUCAUAAGGUGAUUGUUACAUCCACCGAUUGCGGGAUAACCCAUCGCGGGUGGUUCUGUCACUUUGAUGACGAUGCCUACGUAAAUCCAGAUAUUCUUUAUUCGUCUUUGCUACAAAUUACUGAAACACACAAUGAAAAGGCACAUUUAUAUGUUGGCAAAAGGUCAAUUAAAUACGGAUUUAAUAUGACCGAUGCUAUUCAGCAAAAAAGGGUGAACGUUGUAUUUGCUAACGGUGAUGCGUAUUGUCUUAACGAUGUUAUGAUGCUGCGAAUCAGGAGCAGUAUGGUAAUCGCAAACGAUCCGCUGAACUUCAAACACCUUUCCAAAAAACACUACGGAGACAUUGGGGAUGAUGUCUUGUUGGCAUUUCUAUUGACUGCGUACUUCAACGCAACUUACGUGGAAUUACCCAAUAUCUAUUCGCAUACCUAUACUGAUUUGCCUAAUACGAAGUGGACUGAUGCGUGCGAGGCGGUAGCGGUAUGCCAAAGUAAGAGCAACUACUUGCACCCUACCGCUGCCGAUGGUUAUAAUGGCACAUCUUGGGUAAAUCUAACUCACAAACAAAGAGUCGUGGAGCUGCACAAUUUAUGCCGUGUCCAAAAAAAGGAUAAAAGAAAGAUAGUACAAAACCUAAAUAAAUCGUAAAGUCUUUGUUCGUUUUGUACAUUUAACGUUUCAACUAUACGAAAAAAAAUUUAUCCCUUUUCACCUUCCUUUGUAUGGAUAAAUCCUUGCUGAUACACUGGCGUCGGUAUUAACGCUUUAGCAGUUUACUAAACAGUGAUCUGUCGUUUUACGCAGAAAACCAUACAAAGCCAACGCAAAAAUGGUUUGUAAAUUUUGCAAGUGGGUCAUUUCUCGUUUUUGGCUGGUUUUACACGAAGGUACCUGAAGGUACCUUCUGUGCGUAUUUUGACUGCUUCGAGCGAUGUUUUUGUGCUGGAAGCGCUUCAAGUUUAAAUAGUGAUGCGACACUUGCGACACAAACGUUAACGGUCUCAACAUAACAUAAUUUUAUUAAGUAAUUCUUGUCCGUUUAAUUUGUGAUUGUUUGCACUUUUCAGUGAACGUUUUAUUGAAAAUGAGAAUGUGAUGUACGGGUGCUUGUAUUUUCUCUUCUGCUGUAAGCAAAGUUUUCUACUCAAAGUGAAAUAAUGUAUCAAGGUGGAAAGCACAGAAUUUCUCAUGAUGAUACAGUAGUGCAAAAGUACUAUAAAAUUGGCUGGCGAAAUGGAUCUCUUUUACCUAAAACUGUGAAAACGUUACUUUUAUGCGCAACACUUUUUUGCAUAAUUCUUUUACUUAUUCGUACUUUCCGACCAUACCACAAACAUCUUUCUGGUUUGUUGUACGUAGUCAUCGCACAGGAUGGCCAGUAUUCGUUGCGAAACAGCGAUCAGUCAAACUUCGCAUUGUAUUUAAGCAUUAGAACCAGCUUCCAGUUUCACAGAAAACGACUGCUCCCAUUGUUGCAAACCUGGAUUCCAUUGGCCUUGAUUAUGAAAGACAAUGAAGGAAGACUUGUUGUUCCACAGUUUACGAUAGUGACCGACGAGAAACCGGACAAUCAGUUCAUUGAUGACGCAUUCGGUCAGUGCCAUAAAAUGAAGAAUCCGUGAUACCACAGCCCGUACGUAGCAAUUAAAUAGUGGGCUGUGGUGAUCCUGUACUGUAAUCGCAAUUUCGCAUUCUAAAAGUGGAAUUAUUUAUGAUGCCGCAUAUAAAAAACCUUGCAUAUUUACUACUUUUAGUACUUAUUAAGUAAUAAAACUGGUAGGAGUGUUAGUUGGGUUAUUUUAAUGGCUUUUUGCUUGUCCCUACAGUGAAGCUUGUUAAAUUUUUGUUAAGAGUUCCUAUCGCAUUUUGGCCUUUCAGAUAAGUGUUACUUUAGGGACAAAUGCAUCUAGCAAGCUGGCGAUAGUGUACUCUGAUUGCGAAACUAUUCAUGGAGGGUAAGCUAAAGUUUGGGUUCAGUUGUUUGCGGUAAGUUAAUCAAGCUUGGCUCGAAUGAAUUAACUGAUGGUGAGGUGAAAUUUGUCUAGAUUUACUACUUUCUCUUAAAAGUUACAAACGAUUUCAGGGUUGCCCUAGCGUGCAAAACAAACCAAGAAUUUCUGGAGUUUUAUGAUUUUUCAGCUUCGAAUCCCAUGCCAAAGUAAGAAUUUAUAGCACCAAGAUAUCGAAUAUAAGUACGAGUCCUGCUAUCGAAUGUUUUGCAUGAAUAUAAUAUAGAAAAUAUAAUAUAAACCAAAUCGUAUGCGCGCGAUACUUUUUUAAUUUAUUUGUUAGGGCUGUUUUCAUGCUUUAUAUGUGUGUAUGUGCACAAUACCGCCUCAGCCGUUUUCUACGCGCUGCUUUUUCCUUUGAACAUUAGUUAAGUAGCAUUAUAUUUCGCAACUGCUAGAGUAGUGGAUUACUGGCUAGCUAGAUAUGUUAGAUUGCCUUGACCCUGAUCGGAAAAUUUCAGAUUACUAGCGUGAAAAUGGAUGUUUAGCAGUUGGUGUCGAUUUGGGAAUAGCGCUCAAAUGUUACAGGUGGUUCUGUCAUUUUGAUGACGAUGCCUACGUGAAUGUCGAUAUUUUGUAUGCAUCGUUACUAAACAUAACAUCCCAAAACUGGGGCAAUCAUACACAUUUCUACGUCGGGAAAAGGUCACUUGAAUAUGGAUACAACAUAAGUGAUCUAGUUCGCAAUCACAAGCCCGCUUCGCAUAUUGCCAACUUGGUUGGCCAAGCUCCUCUGUGAUUUUUCUAAAGAACUCAGAAAUACAAGCCAAAAUGUCUUCACUUGUCCAGAGAAUCUUGGGGGCCCAGUUUUCCAAUGGCGAUUUCUUUUGCUUGAACGAUGCAAUGAUGCAGCGAAUGAAAAGCAGUAUGAUGGAGGAGAGCGAUCCAUUAAAUUUUAUGAAUUUGUCUGCCGCAUACAACUCGGAUUAUGAGGACUUUUUGAAUGAUGAUGUCUUGUUAGGAUAUUUAUUAACCGGUAUGUCCAAAGUUUGGGCAGUUAAACAUUUGUAGCAAAAUGUUCUAGCGUUUGAAUAUCCACCAUAAGGUUGGUUUAUCAGGAUAGUAAAUUGUACUAGUGGUUACAAAUUUUGCGUUUGCAUUUGGGUGACCAAAUUUGUAUUGGUUUAAUACAAACCUUUGUUGACGUUACCAGAAUUUAUGAAUGCCACUUUUGUUGAACUGCCCAACAUUUAUUCGCACACUUAUGAUGAUCUGUCCAGAAUCAAGUUAGCCGAUGCCUGUGCUGCGGUAAGACUAAAUCAACUUGCAGUAGUAUCCGUAACCAAUUUCAUGCAAGUAUCAACUUAUUUGUUUUAUUCUGCUACUACAGUGAGUACAGUAGGUUUUAUUUCAUUGCUGUGCAUGCAUACAGUAAUAACUUCAUCGUUGCGACUUUUGAGAUGCUCAUGCUUUUGAAAUACAGGUCUCGGUAGUCCAGAGUGAUUCUAACUACUUACGGCCGGAUAUUACGGAAGAUGGUUAUGAUGGUCCGUCUUGGGCGAACAUAAGCCGGACUGAAAGGGUUGCAGCACUACAUACCGUUUGCCAGCGCGCGAAGGAAAAGAAUCUG
Molecule: RNA transcript, 4388 nt
Organism: Paramacrobiotus metropolitanus
Lineage: Eukaryota; Metazoa; Tardigrada; Eutardigrada; Parachela; Macrobiotidae
Gene name: beta-1,3-N-acetylglucosaminyltransferase manic fringe-like
Exons: 11
Source: RefSeq, a predicted model, not a curated record